UUAUCUCUCCCUUUUACAUCGACGGUUCUUCUCUCUUUUCUGGUGGUGGGGUGCUGAGCUAGCCCACCGUACGUGAAAUCGCAUAGUGAUGCGGUUCCAAAAUUUCGGCGACUGGAGGCGUUGCGGCCGGCGAGCAACUGCGAUUGGGCAUUGUGGCCGGCGGCGAGCGGCUGCAGCUAGCUAGAAUUCAGGCGGUGGCGGUCGCUCAGGGCUGCAGCCAAGUCCUACUAGAUUCGGCUUCAUUCAUGGACUUCGCGAUGGGCUGAGCGGAAGGCGGCCACGCGGGCGUACGGCCUCCCUGGCCACCGGACGAACGUCCACGAACGCCUCUGGCCCGAGCCCCCCGCUGCCGUCCGCUGGCCACCGGAGGCGGGGAUUCACCGGCGGGGCGCACAUCAGGUACUACGACGCGGCGCCGGCGUUGGAGGCGGCAGCAAGGACCUUACCGAGCUCCAGGCCAUGGGCUUCGUCGCUGGAGACGCGGGCAAGGAGAAGAUCCUCUCGAGACCCAAGUCUCUCUAUGUGGCUGCCCCCUCUGGUGAUCAGCCCUUCUCCCAUGAUGCGUCCGGCAAGAGAGAGCAUCUCCGGGACGAUGCAGGAUUGCAGGCGGCCACGAGUGUCAGCUUUUAGUUGGCUCUUCCCCACCAACUAAAUCCUUCUCAAGUGGAUCUGAAGGUUCUGGUUUGCAGCUACCAUCGACCCAUCUCUCGUUCUGAGGUAACGCCUUACAGCAAAUCAUUGUGUGUGGUGUUGGCCAUUACGUAAGUUGCAACUUUAGUUUGAGUCGUUAGAAUAUACAGAGUAGGUAGAAGAAGCAGGAAUCUUGCAAAUUAUCCCAGGGUUGAUGUGCUUCCUCCGGGGAUUAGUAGACAAUUCCCUAUCUGAUUCCAAGCUCUGAAUAUGAAUUAAAACAAUCGAAGAUGCCUUUUAGUUAUUACCGCAGUCUCUCUAAGAUGAUUGUGUUCAGAGUUUCAGUUCACAUCUCCAGUAUGGGCUGUGAACAUUUGAAUUAACAUAAUUCCUUUUAAUGUUUUUCGCAGUCCUAAUGUUUGGGUUGCAAGCAUCUAGAAUUACACAAGUAUCAUUCAACUGAGUUCAGACUGGUGUGGUUAACCAUCACCAAAAGAUAAACAAUAGCUUGUUAUGCAAAUGGCUUUAAAGAUAAAAAUGGGUCGUGUCAAGAAAUAUUGAAAAUAAUCUUUGUGCAGCAAGGCACUGCUUGAGUAGAAUACGCACUUAUUUGGAGGGAUUAUAGAAGCCAAGCCUUUUUUUUAGUCUUGCUGCGAAAUUGAGGUAAGCAAUAGGGAGUUUCUUGAAACCCUGAAUGAGGAGAUGAGCCUUUUUAGUGUGAAUUUUACUGGCUGAUAUUCUUUUUUUUAAAGUAAAUGGCGAGAAUUGAUAUCUUGGGUUCAGUCACAGAUAAGUAUUUAGAGGUUAAUUUGGAUGCUUCUUUGGAUAGAUAUGCUUGGAAACCAUAUACUAAAUAGGCUCUUUAGUGUGUAUUCUUUAUAUUUAGCUUUAUAGUUUACUAAUGGGCACACCACACUAACUUUUUCUAGAAAUUUCGUAAAGUGAAGUGGUUAUAUGGUAUCUGUGUAAAGGCGUGUGCUUACCAAACAUGUUUUGUACUACAAAGUACUCAGUUUAUCACUUGUUUUCCUGCUCUUUCUCAUUAUGUUUGGCUGUUCAACAGUUGCUGUAUGGUUUUUGAAAAAAAACUGAGGCCGCUUGCUACUAUGGAAAUGACGCAUUUGAAAUAAGAAACAAUGCCCCUAUCUCCUACCCAGUUUUGGUGUUCACCAAUUUUACAUUGGAUUUGCUUUUGGUCUUGCAUAAUGGUGGAGAAGCAAACUUUUUGGAAGCCGACUCUGGUUGAGCUUAAUGUUUUUCAUGUGCAAGAGGAUGAGUAGUUGCUAACGGACUUGCUAACCAGCUGGUGUUGUAAGCUGGUUAACUUAGAUUCUAAGCCUUUUAUGCUUGCUGGAUAUCUCGUUACUGGCUUCAUCGCCAUCAAGACCUGGCUUCAUUGUCAUCAAGACCUGGCUAUGCUAAUUUGACCUUGUUUAGUUAAAAGGAGGACUUGUAUUAAUAUCCAUACAUGAUUGGUAUACAUAUAAGAUUUCCAGUACAUGUAGUUACUGGUAUGGCUCCAGUAAGUCCAUUGAUAUCGCUAUUUUUCAUUUCGUUAUAAAACAAAUCAUUUUCUGAUCAUUAUUUUUAAUGGUACGAUCAAUAAAGAUUUAGUGGUGAUAUGUAAAAUUUCAUAACCGUCAUCCAAAUCUAUUACCUCAAUUUUUUUUUGUUGAGAUAUUGAACUUGUUUCUACUGCAUCUCUGAUAUAUGUGCUUGUUCAAGAAUUUAUCAUAUAGAAGGGCGUGACUAACCAUGCAUCUCCAUUCUAGUUAUGAAUUAAACGAAGCUCACACAUGGGUUCUUAUGCUUGUUGCGAUGACUUAUCCUUCCUGCUCCCUUGAACUCUUCUAUUACAUAAUUGGUUCGUCAGAAAAUAUGUAUGAUUGAGACGAGAAUACGAGAUAGUAGUGUCUUUAUUGCUUAUGUUCUCUUAAAUUUUUACACAGUUGGCUGCCUAGUUAUAAAGGUAAUACACACAUGUUUUCUGCAUGCCGUUUCUUUUCAUUCAGCACUAUUUUUCUCUACUCGUUACAUUUUCAGCUUUCUAAUGUAAGUAUACAACAGAUUCUAUGCCGAGUGAAUUUAUCUGCCAAUCAUUUAAUAUAUUACAUUCCUGGCAACCUGUAGUGCCGUAAUCAUCAAUAGCUGAAAAUACUAAAAAGAAAACAAAAUGCUAAUGGAUAGAAACCCUCCCUAAUAUAUUCAGAUGUGUAAUCUUAUUAAAACAUGUUCCGAAAGCUUGUAUUUCUUACUCGUUGUAAUUUUCUAGCCACAUGAAGCCAUACGGUUUGUGUGAUAUUAGGCGGACAUCCCACCAUGCCAUUAAUUCAGUUUUUUUUCUUACAUGCUCGUUUCUGUACGUACAGGUAUGGUUAAAACUUAUCAAUUCAUUUGUUGAGGACUAGACGCUUUUCAAGUAAUUGAAUGCUGAAUUUGGUAGUUCCAAAAUAGCCAGCUCUCGCCCUGCAAAAGAAAAAGGAUGAUCUUCACAUCAUGAAGAAAGGAGAAGUUCUCAUCACGUCAGAAUGUGGCCCCCAAGGACGCUGAUGAGAUGAUCCACGCAAUGUAAUUUAUAGCACCAUGUCUUGUAAUUUAUAUAUGCAAUUUUGUUUUAGUCAAA
This is a non-coding RNA of Lolium perenne, 3253 nucleotides long. Lineage: Eukaryota; Viridiplantae; Streptophyta; Magnoliopsida; Poales; Poaceae. The record is from RefSeq and is a predicted model, not a curated record.